AGAGUUUGAUUCUGGCUCAGAACGAACGCUGGCAGCGUGGAUUAGGCAUGCAAGUCGAACGGGAAGCGUGGGGUUCAAUCUUCGGAGAGAAACCUGCGUGGAUAGUGGCGGAAGGGUGAGUAACGCGUGGGUAAGCUGCCUUCAAGUUGGGGAUAACUCUGCGAAAGCGGGGCUAAUACCGGAUGUGGUUCCGUAACGCCUGUUACGGUAACUAAAGGUGGGGAUCUUCGGACCUGCCGCUUGAUGAGGCGCCCGCGUGCCAUCAGCUUGUUGGUAGGGUAAUGGCCUACCAAGGCUUACGGCUAGCUGGUCUGAGAGGAUGAUCAGCCACACUGGGACUGAGACACUGCCCAGACUCCUACGGGAGGCUGCAGUCGAGGAUCAUUCGCAAUGCGCGAAAGCGUGACGAUGCGACGCUGCGUGGAGGAUGACUGCCUUCGGGUUGUAAACUCCUGUCACCGGGGAAAAACAGCCAUUUGGUGAACAGCCUUUUGGUUUGAUGGUACCUGGAGAGGAAGCCACGGCUAACUCUGUGCCAGCAGCCGCGGUAAUACAGAGGUGGCGAGCGUUGUUCGGAUUUACUGGGCGUAAAGCGUGCGUAGGCGGCAUUGUAAGUCGGAUGUGAAAUCCCGGGGCUCAACUCCGGAACGGCAUCCGAAACUGCAAAGCUUGAGUGCAGGAGGGGAGAGCAGAAUUCACGGUGUAGCGGUGAAAUGCGUUGAUAUCGUGAAGAAUACCGGUGGCGAAGGCGGCUCUCUGGAAUGCAACUGACGCUGAGGCACGAAAGCGUGGGGAGCAAACAGGAUUAGAUACCCUGGUAGUCCACGCCGUAAACGGUGCGCACUUGUCGUUGGGGGAGUUAACCCCCUCAGUGACGGAGCUAACGCGUUAAGUGCGCCGCCUGGGGAGUACGGCCGCAAGGCUAAAACUCAAAGAAAUUGACGGGGGCCCGCACAAGCGGAGGAGCAUGUGGCUUAAUUCGAUGCAACGCGAAGAACCUUACCUGGGUUUGACAUCGGAGAGGCUUGCCUCUAUCGCGUGAAAGCGUGAGAACCAGACAGGUGCUGCAUGGCUGUCGUCAGUUCGUGCCGUGAGGUGUUGGGUUAAGUCCCGCAACGAACGCAACCCCUGUGGUUAGUUGCCCCCCUGUCUUCGGACAGGCGCACUCUAGCCAGACUGCCCGUGUAAUCGGGAGGAAGGUGGGGACGACGUCAAGUCCGUAUGGCCCUUACACCCAGGGCUGCACACGUGCUACAAUGGCCGGUCCAGAGGGCAGCGAAGCCGCGAGGUGGAGCAAAUCCCCAAAGCCGGCCUCAGUUCGGAUUGUAGUCUGCAACUCGACUACAUGAAGUCGGAUUCGCUAGUAACGGCGUAUCAGCUACGACGCCGUGAAUACGUUCCCGGGCCUUGUACACACCGCCCGUCACAUCAUGAAAGCCGUCUGCACCCGAAGUCGCUGAGCUAAUCAUUUAUUUGAAGGCAGGUGCCGAAGGUGUGGGUGGUGAUUGGGAUGAAGUCGAAACAAGGUA
RNAcentral lists this ribosomal RNA (1529 nucleotides) under metagenome. Its description in RNAcentral is "bacterial SSU rRNA". It matches the Rfam family "Bacterial small subunit ribosomal RNA". The record is from RNAcentral.